AGUUCGGAGAACCUGUGUCUGGACUGGGGGGGGACCAGGGUCCACCGGGCCUGCAGCACAGGGGCCCCACACCAUCCCCAAGUGCAACCCCCCUCAGGGACACCCAUUUAGCUCGCCAAUCACCCCCUGCGUGCCACAGUUUCCUUCGUGUUGCAGCGAUCAGGAAGAGAGAUGUAGAUACACAGCUGAGUCCUGACCAGAGGAGCUGAGUCCUGACCAGAGGAGCUGAGUCCUGACCAGAGGAGCUGAGUCCUGACCAGAGGAGCUGACUCUCCUGUGCUGUGUCACAUGUUCGUGUAAUGGUUUUUAGAUUCUCCCACAUACAAAUCAGAACAUUCCUCACUGCACUGCACACACCAUGUUACUCUUCUUAUACUUUGGGGUUGGGUCUUUUGGAUGAGCCAGUUGUUGCCUCACUGGGUUUAGAGCAGACCUUGACGCAGUAUUUAUUAAAGAUCCUUCUACGUUUUUCGGACACCCCAGAAAUAUAUGAGACUCUGGUUCAAAAGAGGGGUCAACCUAUUGUCUGCCACAUACAAUGCUGUUAUAACACGUCUCCCUGGAUGGUUUAAUAACAUUUCAUAGCUGCAAUCAUGCUAAUACCGUACAAUCAACACCUUGUCUCCAUCAGCUCUCUGAACCCAAUGCUGGUUUUACUAAACAGAUGAUGCUGAGUAACAUUCCACAAAUAUAACCACAAAUAUUUUUGUACAGGUCAUUCUGAAUGGAGACAGUCAGUCUGGUGUCUAGUGAAACGUCUUCAAGGAAAACACAACAAGUCCAGUUGAUUUGACUUAUUACUAUAGAUAUACCAUGAUCUAUGGAUGAAUGUGAACCUAAACAGACAUACUGCCCUAGAUAUUUUUUACAUUAAGGCUGAAUGGGUGCUAUAUCAAUAUUUUCCAAAAUCUGUAAACUUUAUAUGAACUGAAGAACAAUGACCAAAGGUUGGACCUCCAAGGGGAGCCUGAACUGAAAAGUCCCUCAACCAUUUAGUAUAUGAGAAAGAGAUGCUGAGGGUCAUUUACUAUGUACAAGGCACAAACUGGGUGCAAUCUGCAAUGAUUUUUGAACUUUAUACAGUGCCCUUCACACAGACCAAUUGCUGCAGGUGCUCCAAAGGGUGUAGAGACCCACAUUAACACCAUGAAUACAGUGUUGCCUGCAUAGGCAUCCCCUCUUAUGCCCCCUACCCAUUCCCUAACCUGUGCCCCUUAGUGCUCUUUGACUUGUGCCCAGGGUCAGAGUAAAUGCCCCUUGCUAUCUUAUUGCACAUUACAAUACUCUGAAUUAUGUCAUCAAACAUCAUAGCAUAACUGGAUCAUCUAGAAACUACAAACGGGAACUAUAAGUGCAAAAGUUUAAACCUGUUGGACACAAGACUUUUUGUUAUCAUCCGUUUCUAAAAAUGUUGUUUCUGGAAAUAUAAUUGGAGUUUUUAGACUAUUUUAAUUCUUCCCCAGGUUAAGCAAAAUGAGGGGUUUCUGCCCUGUGACUUCUCACUGCCUACCGUGUACUGUUUCUUGGUUCCAUCUUUUAAGGCAACACCAUUUCUGUACCACUGGUACAAGGGAAGGGGUUUUCCAACGGCAGCGCAUUCCAAAACCAGUUUUUCUCCUGCCAUGAGCCUUUGGGGUUGUGGGUGGGUACAGAUCUGUAAUUUAUGGUCGGGUAAUCCAGGUAGUCCUGCUGAGAGCAAUACUCUGUUGAUGUGCAGUAGCUCAAAUGAAAACCAGUAAAACAUGGACAAUCACACUCUCCAGUUGAUAUUAAACUACAUGGCUGGCAAAAGCUCAUGGGAAGGGCUCACCCUAUCCCCAUUAAACUAACUAUAAGGUUUCAUAAAUACAGGGAUGUCUCUAUUAAUGGUGGGACCCAGAAUAAAACAGACAGCUAAAGGGCUUCAAGGGUGGACAUAUCUGAUAUAAAGUGUAUUUGUUGCUGUUGCCACAUUGGCCAACUGUCUCCACCUUGCUGUACUAUAUCAAAAAUACCCCACUCCUCCUACAUACAAGUUAUUUCAUGUUGGGGCUCUGGGCAGAUACAGCUCUGGUUAAUGAUGAGAAAUAUGCUGAUAUCUUAUCAAUGUACAGCAAAGUACAACUCCUGUUCUUAAGAAGCGAAAGAGAACGCAAGUGAAACCCUAGUGCAAGGUGGAAGAGAGAAAGAUCACAGUGACGGGGCAUUGUGGUUCCAUUGAGUCACCGUAUUUCAAAGAGGCAGAAAGGAAGAGCGUGGCUGAGCCAGGACACACCAAAAGGAAGCAGAAUUCAAGCUGAAACUCAGAAACUGCUAACUUGCCAAAUAUUGUUUUAAUUUUUUUUCCUGUUUUUCAGUGGGUACAAUAAUGAUUAAAUAUGAUUAUUGUCUCACAAAAAGGCUAUAAAAACAUAUCCAUGGGGGGGUGUAAUGUAUCAUAAAAGUGCCAAUCGAAGCAGGAGGACACGUUGGCUUGGAUAGAGCCGCCCUAUCCUUAGGCCAAACCAAAAGGCAAAGAGGUGUAGAAUUCCUAAUAUCUCUGGGCAAGAUUGGACAAAUGAGGCACUUACCAUGACUUUUCAGAGGACUCUCCAUCACAUCCAGAUAAGCCCACACGCUGAAAUCGUAGGAAUAACCAUUGUUUACCCGACAGAUGUAAGAUCCUGCGUCGUGGGCAUGGGCAGGAUUAAACACCAGCUCUGAUGAGUUUCCCUGUGGGAUCUGAAUGCAAACAUUUUUUUAAAAAAGAUCUUUUAGUUUCUGGGUAUAUCUCAUACUCAGCCCCCACUGAGGGUAGCAGCUUUCAGAGUAAUAGUACAGAAGUCAGGAGCAUCAGAGCUGGGGCAGCCACGGCUAGUGAUGGGUGAUUUUGUCCCGUUUCGCUGUUGCCGAAAAAUUCCCGAAUUUCCUGCGAAAUUCACUAAACAGCAAAAAAUCAGCGAAACGCGAAUUUCACGUCAAUACCGAUGCUCGAGUCAAUUUUUACGCCGGUGUUAAAGUCAAUGGGCAUCCUAAUAACACUGACACGUGACGGUUUUGACGCGAGCAACUUUGUCCAAAAUUUUUUGCCACCGGCUAAUUUUCACGGCUGUUUCGCAAAUGAAUUUGCCGACAGCAAAACGUGGAACGUUGGCGCAAAUUUGUGCCUGGAGAACUUAUUCGCCCACCACUAGCCACGGCUAUCAGAGCAUAUUACUUUCAGAAUCCCUAAACUUACUGGGAUGUCUUCUCAUCCCCUUUAAACCACCCCUGUCCCAUUACACCGGGCCAUGUAAUGGCUAAAGGGUUAUUACUCUAUUACUAUAGUUAUUUUUCACUCCAUCCAAACACUUAAGAACGAGUUGCUUGAAUGCUCGAACCAGAAGAUAAUGAACCACAUCUUUUGCCAAAAAGAAUGACACGCCUUUUCUAAAUAUUUGCUCCCGAGGUAAUAUCAUGAUGUUACAUGCUUUUUUCAAUAAAAAUAAUAUGCUUUACUGUA
Xenopus laevis (African clawed frog) is the source of this 3460-nucleotide long non-coding RNA. RefSeq lists it as uncharacterized. The transcript has 2 exons. NCBI's taxonomy places the organism in Eukaryota, Metazoa, Chordata, Amphibia, Anura, Pipidae. The record is from RefSeq and is a predicted model, not a curated record.